GACGGAGGUCAUGGACAACUCGUCAAACCCCAUCGUCUGUCAUAUGUCAAAAUUUAUUCGACUCGAGUUCGAUAGUGGAAAACUCUUUCUCCACUUUAUAUUACUGCCCUGGCCAAGCUCUUAGAACUCAGUCUAACAAAUCACAUAGGAUCACUCCUCUUCUAUCAAGGUCGAUAGAUUCCUUGUAGGUGCAUACCCUACUCCUACAGUGAACCUACUGCAGCCAAUCUACACUGCAUGGACCCCUAUGGCUAGAGACCAUGUAUGUGUGCAGUCAAACUACAAUAACCUCA
Molecule: long non-coding RNA, 293 nt
Filed under: Phoenix dactylifera (date palm)
Lineage: Eukaryota; Viridiplantae; Streptophyta; Magnoliopsida; Arecales; Arecaceae
Description: long non-coding RNA (PDAC_LNC006549)
Source: RNAcentral